This 382-nucleotide ribosomal RNA is filed under the name Rickettsiaceae bacterium. RNAcentral describes it as "partial 23S ribosomal RNA". It matches the Rfam family "Bacterial large subunit ribosomal RNA", at positions 2546 to 2925 of the family's 2925-position model. Lineage: Bacteria; Pseudomonadati; Pseudomonadota; Alphaproteobacteria; Rickettsiales; Rickettsiaceae. The record is from RNAcentral.
CCUGGGGGUGAAGAAGCUCCCAAGGGUUCGGCUGUUCGCCGAUGAAAGCGGUACGUGAGUUGGGUUUAGUGCGUUGAGAAACAGUACGGAUCCUAUCUUUUUUGGGUGUGAUACAUUUUAAAAAAUGUAGAAAACUGAGAGAAUUAUUCCUUUGUACGAGAGGACCGGGAAUAGUGAACCUCUGGUGUUCCAGUUGUCGCGCCAGUGGCAGCGCUGGGUAGCUACGUUCAAAUCGGAGAACCGCUGAAAGCAUAUCAAGCGGGAAACCGUGUCUCAAAACAAGUUUUAGAAUGGUGCAAGACAAGCACCUGAUAGGCGAGAUGUGUAAAAAGGGCAACCUUCUAGCUUACUCGUACUAACUCUUUUUCUCUUUCUUGAUCUU